RNAcentral lists this ribosomal RNA (494 nucleotides) under uncultured bacterium. RNAcentral's name for it is "partial 16S ribosomal RNA". It matches the Rfam family "Bacterial small subunit ribosomal RNA", at positions 28 to 507 of the family's 1533-position model. The record is from RNAcentral.
GACGAACGCUGGCGGCGUGCUUAACACAUGCAAGUCGAACGGUGAAGCGCCUUCCUUUUUGGUGGGUGUGGAUGAGUGGCGAACGGGUGAGUAACACGUGAGUAAACUUCCCCGUUCUUCUGGAUAACCGCGUGAAAGUGUGGCUAAUACGGGAUAUUCCGGGUCUGUCGCAUGAUGGGUCUGGGAAAGAUAUUGUUUCGGUGGGGGAUGGGCUCGCGGCCUAUCAGCUUGUGGGUGGGGUGAUGGCCUACCCAGGCGGUGACGGGUAGCCGGCCUGGGAGGGUGGACGGGCACACUGGGACUGAGACACGGCCCAGAUGCCUACGGGAGGCAGCAGUGGGUAAUAUUGGACAAUGGGGGCGAGCCUGAUGCAGCGAGGGCGCGUGAGGGAUGGAGCCAUUCGGGGUGUGAGCCGCUGUCGCUAGUGAAGCAGAGCUGCCUCGUUUGUGGGUGGGUUGACGGUAGCUGGAUAAGAAGCGCCGGCUAACUCCGUG